UGAGGCACCGCCAGAAUUACGGGUGUGAACGAAAGUGAAUAGGCACGAAGUAUGCGACCGACAAGCUCCAAGCCU
This 75-nucleotide transfer RNA is filed under the name Salmonella phage FSL SP-063. RNAcentral's name for it is "tRNA-Asn". Lineage: Duplodnaviria; Heunggongvirae; Uroviricota; Caudoviricetes; Pantevenvirales; Ackermannviridae. The record is from RNAcentral.